Molecule: ribosomal RNA, 683 nt
Filed under: uncultured bacterium
Lineage: Bacteria
Description: bacterial SSU rRNA
Rfam family: Bacterial small subunit ribosomal RNA
Source: RNAcentral
GAGUUUGAUCCUGGCUCAGGAUGAACGCUGGCGGCGUGCUUAACACAUGCAAGUCGAACGGGGAUGCCAUUUUCGAGGCGGUUAGUUUACUAAGCGCCAAGAUGCUGGCAUCUUAGUGGCGGACGGGUGAGUAACGCGUGGGUAACCUGCCUUAUACAGGGGGAUAACACUUAGAAAUAGGUGCUAAUACCGCAUAAGCGCACGGGGCUGCAUGGCCCAGUGUGAAAAACUCCGGUGGUAUAAGAUGGACCCGCGUCUGAUUAGCUUGUUGGCGGGGUAACGGCCCACCAAGGCGACGAUCAGUAGCCGGCCUGAGAGGGUGGACGGCCACAUUGGGACUGAGACACGGCCCAAACUCCUACGGGAGGCAGCAGUGGGGAAUAUUGGACAAUGGGGGGAACCCUGAUCCAGCGACGCCGCGUGAGUGAAGAAGUAUUUCGGUAUGUAAAGCUCUAUCAGCAGGGAAGAAAGAAAUGACGGUACCUGACUAAGAAGCCCCGGCUAACUACGUGCCAGCAGCCGCGGUAAUACGUAGGGGGCAAGCGUUAUCCGGAUUUACUGGGUGUAAAGGGAGCGUAGACGGUUAUGCAAGUCUGGAGUGAAAGGCGGGGGCCCAACCCCCGGACUGCUUUGGAAACUGUGUAACUGGAGUGCAGGAGAAGGAAGUGGAAUUCCUAGUGAAG